GCCGGGUUGGCCUUGACCCCAGCCUGCUCCACAGCCCACACUUCCCGGUCCGGUCCUCCGCGCCGCUCCGCUCCGCCUCCCCAGGACUCCCUGGUUCCUCGUGCACCUCUCCGUCCUCAACAGGCCCCAGGCCCGUAAGGCCAUGACUAGCAGCUCGUCCGCGAGGGUUAGUGCUCGGACUCUGGAAUCAAGUCCUCGGGAUGCACUCCAAAGCAGGUGCUGGGUGCGCACUGGUGGACCGGGCAGAGCUCUGAGCGGUGCUCGAGGUCCCCCAGCCGGUGGGAAAGGCAGCUGGCUCCGCCUCAAGACCUAGGUCUGAGGCCUCCGCGCCCUCCGCUCAGGCUCCGGCUUCCAGGUCGCUGCGUCCACAUCCAGGGAAGCGCUGGCCGCACCCGGGCGCGCCGGGCCGGGAUCCUCCCCUUCGACCUUCCCCGAGGUUGGGCCGGAACGUUGAGGUCCCGGGUCUUGUCUCCCCGAGCUCCUCCAGCUGGGCCCCAAGCCCUCGAGAGAGCCGGAUGAGUGAGGUGGGCUCGGCCCGUGACGGCCGGGCUGCGGCGCGGUGUGCGGAAGAGGGCGCCCCUCGGGCGCGGGGGAAGGGGCUGGGGCGGGAGCAGAUGGCAGCAAUUACGGUCCCGCUGCCCGCUCAGGGCGCGAGGCCGGAAGAUCGGCUGCGCGGGCCCUGGGGUGGGGGCGGGGGCCCCAGCUUCCAGGGGAGAGCGCGUGAGUGCCGCGGUGGGGAAACUUACUUCUCCCGGAACAGGGGCUGGGACACUGGACCAUUCUCCCUCCCCGAGUUGGUUUGGCCCAGUGCCCUCAAAAGCCCCGAACCUGCAGUUAUUUUCAAAGCUGCGAUUUAUUUGCAGGAAGAGCCCUUGGCGCAGGCUGCAGGCUGGGGAGAGGGGAGUUGCACGGAUGUGCGUGUUGUGGCCUAAGUGCCGUGGAGGGGAUGCCUGGAACCUGCGAGCCCAGCUGGAGGCCUUGGCUGACUCCUCACGGAGGAAGGCAGGGGACCUUUCCUCACAAAGGCCGAUGAGUCAGCCUGGACUGUUCCUCAGUCAGGGCUGCUGGCCCUGGAGAGAGGAACAGCAGAUGGCUAGGGUUGGCCCCUGUGGUUCGGGGGCAGGGUCCAAGAGGGCAAGAGGGAGCCCCUGGCCCAAAGGAAGCAACUGGACCGGUGUGGCUCCCUGGCCCUUUCUCCCUUCAGAACUCCUCUCCUGUCCUCACCCUGAACCUCGUCCCGUCCCGUGUCUGUUAGAUCUUGAAUCAGCCUCUGUUAAACACCUCACCCCAGCCCUGCUCACUUCCUUGCACAACUGCAAAGGCUCUCCUUUGCUCUGCUGCUCACUGACAGUAAUCCACAGGAGCACAAGACCUUUAAGAACACAGAUCAGAAACCCACAGAGCAGGCUUUCCCCGACACGUGGCCUUAGCCUUGCAGGUCCCCACGCCCGGAUCGCCCUCUCAGGCUCCUUCACAAGACCGUCGCUCUCCCACUGCCCUUCCACAACCCCACCUGCUCAAUCCCCACUGCCUCGCCACCUUCUGCCUUUCUUCCAGGGGGUUCACCACCUUCUGCAGUUCUCUCAUUGGCCUCAUUUGUGGGUCUGGAAUUCAUACUGGCCUUGGACUCACUGUGUAGCCCAGGCUGGCCUCGAACUCAUGGUGAUCCGUCCGCCUCAGCCUCCUGAGUGCUGGGAUUAUAGGUGUGGGCCACCACGCCAGCUGGAACUCCGCUUUGAUACCUCCUGAACCACAGCCCACUGCUGUGUGGCCAUCCGGGCAGGAGACCUGGCUGUCCUCAAUCAUCACUUCCUCUGCACUUGGCCUGGCACAGAGCAGAAGUCCGUAGGUGUUUGUUGGGUGGAUUCCCGAGUGAGGGGAUGAUCUAGGGAGGAGGAAAAGAUGGAGUGAAUGCAGCAGGGACUAGAGACGCCAACAAUCUCUGAGGCUCAGUUUCUUCAUCUGUAAAAGAUGGUGAUGAGGCUCUGGCCCCCUUUCUGGCUCCAGUGUGAGUCAGCUGCGAUGGGGCAGGAACCCAGAGGCCACUCCCUGCUGUCUAGGCCUGGCUCCAGGAAUGGGUAGGAGGCGCUGAAAUGACCAGAGUUCCCCUCCCCCACCCCCCGUCCCCCAGAAUUUAUAGAUUCUUCAUUGUCCUGCACAAAGGCCUUCUUGGGAGGGGCGGGGUGGGUGAGGAGACAGGGGAAUUAAAAAGUCAGAGGGUGAGUAACAGCCAGCCACACCCAGGGCCCCAUGAAUCCGCCUGGGCCCCUGUGAGACCACUGACUUGCCCUCAGAGGCUUACAGGGCUCCUGCUGCAGGGACCAGCUCGCCCUGCUCUCAGCCCUGGUGGCAGAGGGAUGGGGGCAUGUGAAUGUGUGAGGGGUGGCUCGCCUUGUGCGAUCUCCGAUCUGACCUCUGCGAGUCCUUCCUCCCAUCUUGCUCCCUGGUGGGUGGUCAGCUGUCGUUCUAGUUCGCUGCUGUUGGUUCUGAGCAGGAAAAUGUACAGUCUGCGGGUGCCUGCUUCUCUGAUGAGAAGGUCCCGAGGCCCAGACUCCAGGAAACAGCCUCCUCCCCCACUCUGGCCCCUUGGGUAGAAUUGACAGAUGGUGCCCUGUUAACAGAUGACAUUGGAAAUCGGAAUUACUCAGCUGCUUGUCCCUCUGUCAUCCCCACGGAAGGGGGUGGCCUGCAAACUGGGAACGACAGUGAACUCUAUUUUGAGGGCUAUAGAGGACAGGGAAGGAGAUGCUCCAGGGCACAGGGGACCAGAACCAGGUACACAGAAGAUCUAACUUGGAAUCUCAUCUCUACCACGUACCAGCCAGGUGACCUAGGUGCAUCCAUCACCGUCUGAGCCUCUGCUCCCUCAUCUGUCAAAUGGGUCCAUGGGAAACUGUCCUACUCUCCUCCCUGGCUUUUAGGAAGAAAAUGGGGUGGUUUGUGCUUAUAAAAUGGGCUUUAAAACUUGUGAAGGAGUAAAAAAUGUAAGAAGUUGCUGAUUAUAAACAAUAAAUGGCAGCCCAUUCGUUGUUCAUAAAAUUACUUCUGAAACGUUUUUCUUAAAACAAUGUAGAAUAGAGCAGAAAACAUCACACAGUUUU
Molecule: long non-coding RNA, 3101 nt
Filed under: Heterocephalus glaber (naked mole-rat)
Lineage: Eukaryota; Metazoa; Chordata; Mammalia; Rodentia; Bathyergidae
Description: lncRNA (ENSHGLG00100031948.2)
Source: RNAcentral